CCUACGGGAGGCUGCAGUGAGGAAUAUUGGUCAAUGGGAGAGAUCCUGAACCAGCCAAGCCGCGUGAGGGAAGACGGCCCUAUGGGUUGUAAACCUCUUUUGUCGGAGAACAAAACCCGGGACGUGUCCCGGACUGCGUGUAUCCGAAGAAAAAGCAUCGGCUAACUCCGUGCCAGCAGCCGCGGUAAUACGGAGGAUGCGAGCGUUAUCCGGAUUUAUGGGGUUUAAAGGGGGCGUAGGCGGUCCGUUAAGUCAGCGGUAAAAUUGCGGGGCUCAACCCCGGCGAGGCGUUGAAACUGGCAGACUUGAGUGGGCGAGAAGUACGCGGAAUGCGCGGUGUAGCGGUGAAAUGCAUAGAUA
This 360-nucleotide ribosomal RNA is filed under the name uncultured bacterium. RNAcentral describes it as "partial 16S ribosomal RNA". It matches the Rfam family "Bacterial small subunit ribosomal RNA", at positions 338 to 696 of the family's 1533-position model. The record is from RNAcentral.